AGCUUUGAGGUGUUUUCACAUUGGAUUGCAAAUCCAAAGAAGCAGGCUAACACCUGCCGGGGCUU
Molecule: transfer RNA, 65 nt
Filed under: Macquaria australasica (Macquarie perch)
Lineage: Eukaryota; Metazoa; Chordata; Actinopteri; Centrarchiformes; Percichthyidae
Description: tRNA-Cys
Source: RNAcentral